RNAcentral lists this long non-coding RNA (568 nucleotides) under Brassica napus (rape). RNAcentral describes it as "long non-coding RNA (BNAP_LNC009410)". The record is from RNAcentral. Lineage: Eukaryota; Viridiplantae; Streptophyta; Magnoliopsida; Brassicales; Brassicaceae.
UACUUUCAAUAUUGGAACACAUUGGAGCACAACAAAGUGGCAGGUACUAUAUAAACUAAAAACAACCUAUUAUAUAAACUACUAAACAAACCAAAUCAAUUUUGGUUCAGCCAAAACCAAAACAAUAAAUGUAAUUCUUUAAAAACAUGUAUAUUUCUUUAAAAACAUGUAUAUAAUAAUAAUAAUUAAAGUCAGUUUGCAUAUUCAUUAGGUAAUAUGCGCAAGACAAAAUUAAGGAAAAUGGAGCCAAACCAAAGUUACUUAGUUACAAUUGUGAAAAGUGAAUGUUAAUGUCUAAAAUUGUUAAAAAUGGAGGUCAGAUGAUAAGAUGAUAACGUAAGUUUGGAAUUGAUUAACGAAGAGAUAUAUUACCUUGUUUCAGAGUUCUGUAGAUCGAAAGUACAUCCCUUGGAUAUUAUUUACUUGUGGCCAAUAAGUAGUCAGCCCCAAAAAGAAAAAAAGGAAUGCAAUCAAAUGGAUGUUGUCAAACAACAGAAGAAACACACAGCGAUAAUAUUAUAUGUGGAUGUCGUGCUUGCUUUAGAUUAUAGGCAUAAUAGAUUUCAGC